GAAUGCUGACAUAAGUAACGAUAAAGCGGGUGAAAAGCCCGCUCGCCGGAAGACCAAGGGUUCCUGUCCAACGUUAAUCGGGGCAGGGUGAGUCGACCCCUAAGGCGAGGCCGAAAGGCGUAGUCGAUGGGAAACAGGUUAAUAUUCCUGUACUUGGUGUUACUGCGAAGGGGGGACGGAGAAGGCUAUGUUGGCCGGGCGACGGUUGUCCCGGUUUAAGCGUGUAGGCUGGUUUUCCAGGCAAAUCCGGAAAACCAAGGCUGAGGCGUGAUGACGAGGCACUACGGUGCUGAAGCGACAAAUGCCCUGCUUCCAGGAAAAGCCUCUAAGCAUCAGGUAACAUCAAAUCGUACCCCAAACCGACACAGGUGGUCAGGUAGAGAAUACCAAGGCGCUUGAGAGAACUCGGGUGAAGGAACUAGGCAAAAUGGUGCCGUAACUUCGGGAGAAGGCACGCUGAUAUGUAGGUGAAGCGACUUGCUC
This 483-nucleotide ribosomal RNA is filed under the name Escherichia coli. Its description in RNAcentral is "partial 23S ribosomal RNA". It matches the Rfam family "Bacterial large subunit ribosomal RNA", at positions 1292 to 1774 of the family's 2925-position model. The record is from RNAcentral. Lineage: Bacteria; Pseudomonadati; Pseudomonadota; Gammaproteobacteria; Enterobacterales; Enterobacteriaceae.